CAGGUUCUGGACUACCUGUUUGUCCACGGGCAGCUCUGUGAAAAGGGCUUCGAUCCACUCCUCGUAGAAGCUGCUUUGGAAAUGCACCAGUGUUCGGCAGAGGAGGAGGCCACGGCGCUCCUCCAGCUAAUGAGUAAAUUUAAAGAAAUGGGCUUUGAACUGAAGGACAUUAAAGAAGUUUUAUUAUUACACAAAAACGACCAGGACGGCGCGCUGGAAGAUCUAAUGACCCGGGCAGGAGCCAGCUGAAGAGAGGGCAGAGGAGCCCGCGGCCGGCCCUGCCGGCCCGCCCCUUGCCACCGUCACACGGCUCUCUCUGUGGGCGUGGAAAGGAGACAGCCGCAACAACCCUGCCUUUCCGAGGAGAGCUAAUUUGUUGGCCCCCAGCCCUCCAGUAGGCCGUUCCCAGUGGGGAGAGCCCAACCCUUCAAUUAAAGUUUAAGUGUCCUUUCCUGAGUAUCCCCCCUCGCGCCCCCACUUUUAUUUUGGCUAGGCCACAGAGAACCUUGAUCGGGGUUGUACAUAGUAAGGCCAGGCUAGUUAUUUACCCCCCCUCCACUGCCACCCCCCUCCCCCCCCCCCGCAACUCUUGCACUAGACUCGGCCAGAGAAGUAUCUGCUCGGUUCUGAAACAAACCGCUCUUUGAGCUGCUUGAAGCUGAUUUCGUACUUUGUCCGCUUGUACCGAAACGUGGACUCGCGGUCAGGAGCAACGGAAGCCUACCUUGAGUGCAAUGGGAUCCUCAGUUUUGUCCUGGGGGAGCCCGGGGUGGGGGGGUGGGGGUGGGGGAAUCUUUGGUUUGAAAGUUAGUGAAACACUGGGCCUGAAACUGCCUCCGUGCAUAGAGAGACGCCGUACCUUUUCCUUUGGUAUCCUGGCUCUGCCUAUCUGCUCUUUGCCGGUCCUUGACAGGUGAGGCCGAAUUCUCAGUGCGAGUAAACUGUGAGCCUCUUGGGCUGCUUAGCCGAGUGGCUGAUUUCUGAACUGGGGGUGGGUAGGUGGGGGUGGGGGGGAAGACCCUCUUGGCCGCCCUCUUUAAAUUUAUGCAGAAGCACUCCUGGAAAAAAUCGGCCGGCAGUUUAGAAUUAACACAGCGUGAGAGAUGGGAAGUCGUUUAUCUUUUCGAGCACUUUCUUUUUAAUAUUCACUGCAUUUGUUCCAUCUCCUUCCCCCCCCACACACUCUGCUACAGUUACAUUAAUCUGUUAACAUCUAGGAAUAGGAAUCCUACUUUUUGGUUUGAUUUUGAUAGUUUUAAAAAAAAAGAAGAAGUAUAUUAUGUUGUACAUGGUUAAAAGAUCUAAACACAUAAAAACAAAUUAAGCAGUAGGUGAAUCUCUGAAGUGAUUUGCUAAGUAUUUUGGUUUCUGCAGAAAGGGAUACUAAUAAAACCUUGAAAUGCC
Long non-coding RNA from Sphaerodactylus townsendi, 1404 nucleotides. RefSeq lists it as uncharacterized. The record is from RefSeq and is a predicted model, not a curated record. Lineage: Eukaryota; Metazoa; Chordata; Lepidosauria; Squamata; Sphaerodactylidae. The transcript is spliced from 2 exons.